GACGAACGCUGGCGGCGUGCUUAACACAUGCAAGUCGAACGGAAAGGCCCUGCUUUUGUGGGGUGCUCGAGUGGCGAACGGGUGAGUAACACGUGAGUAACCUGCCCUUGACUUUGGGAUAACUUCAGGAAACUGGGGCUAAUACCGGAUAGGAGCUCCUGCUGCAUGGUGGGGGUUGGAAAGUUUCGGCGGUUGGGGAUGGACUCGCGGCUUAUCAGCUUGUUGGUGGGGUAGUGGCUUACCAAGGCUUUGACGGGUAGCCGGCCUGAGAGGGUGACCGGCAACAUUGGGACUGAGAUACGGCCCAGACUCCUACGGGAGGCAGCAGUGGGGAAUAUUGCACAAGGGGCGGAAGCCUGAUGAAGAAACGCCGCGUGCGGGAUGACGGCCUUCGGGUUGUAAACCGCUUUCGCCUGUGACGAAGCGUGAGUGACGGUAAUGGGUAAAGAAGCACCGGCUAACUACGU
This 467-nucleotide ribosomal RNA is filed under the name uncultured bacterium. Its description in RNAcentral is "partial 16S ribosomal RNA". It matches the Rfam family "Bacterial small subunit ribosomal RNA", at positions 28 to 506 of the family's 1533-position model. The record is from RNAcentral.